CAGAACCAAUCUCGUGUAAAAACACUGUGCGCCCAAAAGUAUCAAGAUUUUUGUCAGAAAUGUUGGCAUCAGUGCAAGCUGAAGGAUCUAUGGAAGCCGAUUCAUCACUUUCCAAGGCCCUUUGCAGCACUUCGGAGCUUGCUUUUUUGGAUUUGAUGGCUGCUGCACGAGGCGCGGGAAUGGAGCGGGAUGCAGCGAAAGCCGCAGCCAAUGCAUCUCCCGGUUUUGAAUUUGAUCUGAUGACCCCACUGAAAAAUGGUGGCAACACACUCUGACCUGCUGGUGGUGAAGAAAAUUCACUCGAUUGUUUACUACUAAUUGACUCUGCUCUUGACUGUGUCUGAUGCAACUCUAAUGGCAGUUUUAAGGAUUGAAAAGAUGAUUCUGCCGAGCGAUUGCGACGAUCUACAUCAUUGCGUUUAUGCAAAGCAGAUGGAGAAGAAGGAGGAGAAGGCGAAGAAGAAGAAGAG
This 470-nucleotide unclassified non-coding RNA is filed under the name Hevea brasiliensis (rubber tree). The record is from RNAcentral. Lineage: Eukaryota; Viridiplantae; Streptophyta; Magnoliopsida; Malpighiales; Euphorbiaceae.